Molecule: transfer RNA, 63 nt
Filed under: Livia junci
Lineage: Eukaryota; Metazoa; Arthropoda; Insecta; Hemiptera; Liviidae
Description: tRNA-Pro
Source: RNAcentral
ACAACAGGUAGUUUAAUACUAAAAUAUUAGUUUUGGAAACUAAAGUUAAGAAUUUUUUUGUUG